This 630-nucleotide long non-coding RNA is filed under the name Olea europaea subsp. europaea. Lineage: Eukaryota; Viridiplantae; Streptophyta; Magnoliopsida; Lamiales; Oleaceae. The record is from RNAcentral.
AUUGGACCAAUGGAACUUUGCCAGCAAUUCCUCAACAGCUCCAAUCCAUUCUUCCACGAUCCACGUAUCCAGCAUGUCUAACAGGACCUCAUACUAUAAACCUAGGAUUAUUGAUGGGAACACGUUGUGAUCGUCUUGGUUUAUCAUGGUAUCAUCGCCUUCGCUCGAGGAAAUUAUAUAUUAUGACUUGUGGGCUCGGGAUUACGCUGCCAGUUUGCAACCCUCGGCCGGUUUAAGUCCUGCUCUUGUAUGAGCCGUUGAAGAGAAAAGCUUUGCAAUCAUGGCAGAGGGAUUGUGGGGCAUAAAGCAACUGUAGCAUAGAUGAAAAUGGAAUCGGAGAAUUUAUAAUGGUUCUUCAUCUGUAAUUGUAAGUAAUAAAACUGCAUGCAUUUGGUUUCUCAGUCAAUGAAAUGUAGUUUAAGCUUACACAAUUGGAUUUCAAGAAAAUUUAAUGUUGGGCCUUAAUGCUUAGCCAGUCCAAGUAGCCCAAGCCUGUGGCAGCCUAGACCCUUAAAAACUUAGCCCAAUCUGUGUACUUAGCAUCAAUAAUAAUAUAAAAUAUUCUCUAGACUAUAUUUGACAUUUUGACUUGAUUGCAUUGAUAAGAAUCCUAAUUUUUAUACUUUGUGG